GAUGAACGCUGGCGGCGUGCCUAAUACAUGCAAGUCGAGCGAACAGACGAGGAGCUUGCUCCUCUGACGUUAGCGGCGGACGGGUGAGUAACACGUGGAUAACCUACCUAUAAGACUGGGAUCACUUCGGGAAACCGGAGCUAAUACCGGAUAAUAUAUUGAACCGCAUGGUUCAAUAGUGAAAGACGGUUUUGCUGUCACUUAUAGAUGGAUCCGCGCUGCAUUAGCUAGUUGGUAAGGUAACGGCUUACCAAGGCAACGAUGCGUAGCCGACCUGAGAGGGUGGUCGCCCACACUGGAACUGAGCCGCGGACCAGACUCCUAAGGGAGGCAGCAGUAGGGAACCUUCCGCAAUGGGCGAAAGCCUGACGGAGCAACGCCGCGUGAGUGAUGAAGGUCUUCGGAUCGUAAAACUCUGUUAUUAGGGAAGAACAAAUGUGUAAGUAACUAUGCACGUCUUGACGGUACCUAAUCAGAAAGCCACGGCUAACUACGUG
Molecule: ribosomal RNA, 497 nt
Filed under: uncultured bacterium
Lineage: Bacteria
Description: partial 16S ribosomal RNA
Rfam family: Bacterial small subunit ribosomal RNA
Source: RNAcentral